GAGUUUGAUCCUGGCUCAGAUUGAACGCUGGCGGCAUGCCUUACACAUGCAAGUCGAACGGUAACAGGUCUUCGGAUGCUGACGAGUGGCGAACGGGUGAGUAAUACAUCGGAACGUGCCCGAUCGUGGGGGGAUAACGAAGCGAAAGCUUUGCUAAUACCGCAUACGAUCUACGGAUGAAAGCAGGGGACCGCAAGGCCUUGCGCGAACGGAGCGGCCGAUGGCAGAUUAGGUAGUUGGUGGGAUAAAAGCUUACCAAGCCGACGGUCUGUAGCUGGUCUGAGAGGACGACCAGCCACACUGGGACUGAGACACGGCCCAGACUCCUACGGGAGGCAGCAGUGGGGAAUUUUGGACAAUGGGCGAAAGCCUGAUCCAGCCAUGCCGCGUGCAGGAUGAAGGCCUUCGGUUGUAC
Molecule: ribosomal RNA, 415 nt
Filed under: uncultured microorganism
Description: bacterial SSU rRNA
Rfam family: Bacterial small subunit ribosomal RNA
Source: RNAcentral